CCCCCCCCAUCCCCUGUGCACAGGCAAGCAAGCCACUGCUGUUUCCUCUACAUCUCAUUUCUCUCUCCUGCGGUCACUAUGAUACACAGAGUUUCAAAAUUGCAUUAAAUCCUGCAGCACCUGUCACAGCAGUUGAUACAGUCCAGGUGUGCAGUCUAUUCCUGCUGCUAACUUUCCGACAUUGCUUCAUUGUUACACAGACUUGUCAAAAGCGAAAUUGCCACUUCCUCUUCUCUGCUGCCACCUGCUGGGCUGGGCUUGCUAUGGUCUUUGUUGACUGCCAGGGCCUGUCUAGGCAUCAGGGACUGGGAUGUAGAUGCUGUGCUAUAGAUGAGGGUUCUCUCCUCCCUGGGAAAACAAAAAAGAAAA
This 369-nucleotide long non-coding RNA is filed under the name Rattus norvegicus (Norway rat). RNAcentral's name for it is "long non-coding RNA NONRATT025729". Lineage: Eukaryota; Metazoa; Chordata; Mammalia; Rodentia; Muridae. The record is from RNAcentral.